Molecule: long non-coding RNA, 955 nt
Filed under: Cavia porcellus (domestic guinea pig)
Lineage: Eukaryota; Metazoa; Chordata; Mammalia; Rodentia; Caviidae
Description: lncRNA (ENSCPOG00000037621.1)
Source: RNAcentral
GAAGGUUUCUCCUUGUACUCCCGGAGAUGACAGAGAGGCUUGUUUGAACCAAACUUGAUCUUUCAAAAGAAAGGGAAAACUUGAAGCCUCUAACUCUUGGGAGUGGCAAAGAGAACAGCCAGAGGGCCGUGAGCUAACUUCUAUUCUCCAGAGAUCUUGAAUAGAUUUGGCAGUCCCUUGGCUUCUGUUGAAAACAAGGGCUGCUAAUUAUACUUCUGCCAAUGGAAAACAACAGGCAGCGCCUAGGCUCGGGAGGUCACGAUGACACGCCAAUAUCAUGCUUGUGGAGUGUGGUUUGCUCCCAGAUAAAGCACCACUGAAGUGUAUGUCACAUGCUUGGUGCUGGGACCCAUUCAUGAGAAUGGAAUCUAAUAAAAAUGCAAAGGGAAUCUGGUGAAGUGAUUUCCUUCUUCCCUUAAAUUGUAUCUUGGCUAUAAUAUUUUCUGACACUAGAAAUAAAUUAAUUUCAUGUUUAGAUCCUUCUUUCUACAUCCCCUCCAACUGGAACAAAAGUGGUUUAGAUUAACUAGGUAUGACAGGUUCAGAGACCACAGGGUUUUCCAUUCUGUAACUGCCGAAAGACAAAGGGCACAAAAAAUACAGAUGUUUUCGCCUUGCUGCUACAAAAGCGCAGUGGACUAACUCCCUGCCUGUGGAAUGCAAAUUUUCUUUCACAGUUUAGCAGUCUUUUUUGGAUUUCAGCACAGUGAACUAACACUUUCCUGGAUUCCAAGACCUCCAGAGAACCAGAUGGAUGAGAGAAAUUGGGAAAAAGAACCCACACUGCUUGAAAAAGGAAGUAUACAGAUCUCUUCAUGACUACAAUGAAACCCAGCUCUUGCUAAUGGUAAGAAAUUUCACAGUCUUCAUGCUUCUGAUAUCCAACCACUCUACUAGAUACCUUUUGCCAACCAGAUUACUUGUAGUUCUAUAAAUAUAGCAGGUAGGAGGCUUG